UCAUUUGUUCUUCACGUAAAAUCCAUUAAUGUCCAAAAUUUUUCCAUUCCUGUAAGGCUGUUCCUUUGCAAAACCAAGCCAAAGAAUUCCCAAAAAUCAAGAUUCCUAAAUCUUCACUUUGCCCCUGUCAGACGGACUCUCAGUGAUUGCCAACUCAUUGCCGGACGGACUCUCAGCGAUUGCUGUGAUUCACCGCCUCACGCCUAGGCUGCCUGGUUGCGGACUUGGGUUAGGUUUUAGGGUAAGUAAUUUACUAAUUAGAUUCUUAGAACAUGAAACAUUGUGCAAAGUUUUGGGACCAUUUGCACCAAUUUUCUAUUAAGUAUUAAAAUUGGAAUAUGAAAUACUAUAAUGUAUUUAUUCUAUUAAAAUUUUUAGAUUUAAUAAUCGUCUCUAUAACCACAUUUUAAUAAUUUGAAAUGAGAGUGCAAAUUAGAACUGAAACAAGCUAUUUAUGAAAACUUUGAUUCUUCCGGUCAAAGAAAAUUAUUUUUCUUUAGUUUCUUUCUAGGCAUGGUUAACAAUCAUAUACACAUUCAAAUCCAUCUUUUCAUUCUCAGCAAUCAGAAUUUACAUAGUUAAAUAUGAAGUUGGAAAGUGGAAAGUGUGGGGUAAUGCAGAGAAAGUUGCACAGAACUUGGUCUUGGUGCUUGCACUAAAGAUUCAUAUGGGGAACGAAUUAAAAUCUUUCAAUAUCUUUUCAGUUAAAUAUACUUGGUUUGUUGUAUUGUAUUUGUAUAUGAUAAAUAUUCGGUGAAUGGUGAUAAUAAGAAUGAAGAAGGGAAGAGGCAGAAAUAAAUUAAUGGAAUUUGUUCGAGAAUGAGAUGUUGGUCGUUGGAAUAAUUAAUUAUACUUGAAUAUUAAUUAUACUUGGUAUUUUGGGUAGUUAUUAUGAUUCUUGUUUGUCUUUUAAUUAUGUGGGAACUGGGAAGUGAAAUUUUUUUGUUGGCAUUUGGCAGUUGACACUCAUUCACUUGAUGGUGCUUAUAGUUGAAACGGAAUGAUUGCCCCUUGAAAGAAAAUUUGAGUUCUUUGCAUACCUAUUAAUGCAAUAUCAGAG
This 1060-nucleotide long non-coding RNA is filed under the name Olea europaea subsp. europaea. The record is from RNAcentral. Lineage: Eukaryota; Viridiplantae; Streptophyta; Magnoliopsida; Lamiales; Oleaceae.